UAGGGAAUCUUCGGCAAUGGACGAAAGUCUGACCGAGCAACGCCGCGUGAGUGAAGAAGGUUUUCGGAUCGUAAAACUCUGUUGUUAGAGAAGAACAAGGACGUUAGUAACUGAACGUCCCCUGACGGUAUCUAACCAGAAAGCCACGGCUAACUACGUGCCAGCAGCCGCGGUAAUACGUAGGUGGCAAGCGUUGUCCGGAUUUAUUGGGCGUAAAGCGAGCGCAGGCGGUUUCUUAAGUCUGAUGUGAAAGCCCCCGGCUCAACCGGGGAGGGUCAUUGGAAACUGGGAGACUUGAGUGCAGAAGAGGAGAGUGGAAUUCCAUGUGUAGCGGUGAAAUGCGUAGAUAUAUGGAGGAACACCAGUGGCGAAGGCGGCUCUCUGGUCUGUAACUGGCGCUGAGGCUCGAAAGCGUGGGGAGCAAACAG
RNAcentral lists this ribosomal RNA (428 nucleotides) under Gemmatimonadota bacterium. RNAcentral describes it as "Gemmatimonadetes bacterium partial 16S ribosomal RNA". It matches the Rfam family "Bacterial small subunit ribosomal RNA", at positions 355 to 775 of the family's 1533-position model. Lineage: Bacteria; Pseudomonadati; Gemmatimonadota. The record is from RNAcentral.